RNAcentral lists this unclassified non-coding RNA (504 nucleotides) under Allium tuberosum. Its description in RNAcentral is "partial external transcribed spacer". The record is from RNAcentral. Lineage: Eukaryota; Viridiplantae; Streptophyta; Magnoliopsida; Asparagales; Amaryllidaceae.
AACCAACGCCGGCACAGCCGUACACUCACCAAUACCUACGCACAAGAGGCCGCCCGAGGGACGAAAACACGUCGGUUGGCGUACCAAACGGUAGGGAAAGUAAGGAGAUGCGAAUACCGAAACGCGAGUAGCCACAACAAGGAACAACGGACACAACUUUUGGUAAUAAAAUACCUUGGUUAAAAAAAUACGCACGGCUACAGCAGGAGAACGGGAACCCCGCCCCACUGUAACUUUCCGCCGGGAAGUAGCCAGCACCAGCUACCGGAAAAUCCGACAAUCCGAUAGCCAUGAGCUCCCAGCGAAUCCAGAAUGCCUACGCCACAUGACUACCAUAGCCCCGCACAUCGGGACAGGGUUGCAGCCAACAACGAGCCAAAAGAUACCGGGCGAGAGUACACUUACUACGAUGCACACGCGGCAAGGAAGAAACCCCCCUUCUCUCGAAGCCGCAGCGCGACCAUAGCAACUCCUGCACGAUGGACCAACUAGGACGGUCAUCAG